RNAcentral lists this transfer RNA (67 nucleotides) under Marmota monax (woodchuck). RNAcentral's name for it is "tRNA.Val". Lineage: Eukaryota; Metazoa; Chordata; Mammalia; Rodentia; Sciuridae. The record is from RNAcentral.
GGUUAUGGCUCAGGGGUAGAGUGCUUGUCUCACACAUGUGAGGUACUGGGUUCGAUCCUCAGCACCA